UACGAAGGGUGCAAACGUUGCUCGGAAUCAUUGGGCGUAAAGCGCACGUAGGCGGCUUCGCAAGUCGGAUGUGAAAUCCCUCGGCUCAACCGAGGACGUGCAUCCGAAACUGCGGAGCUUGAGUAUGGAAGAGGGUCGCGGAAUUCCCGGUGUAGAGGUGAAAUUCGUAGAUAUCGGGAGGAACACCAGUGGCGAAGGCGGCGACCUGGGCCAAUACUGACGCUGAGGUGCGAAAGCGUGGGGAGCAAACAGG
This 253-nucleotide ribosomal RNA is filed under the name uncultured bacterium. RNAcentral's name for it is "partial 16S ribosomal RNA". It matches the Rfam family "Bacterial small subunit ribosomal RNA", at positions 524 to 776 of the family's 1533-position model. The record is from RNAcentral.